GAUAGGGUUUAGUUUCUGGAAUAUUGGGUUCACCGUUGAGAAAGCAUUACUUGUUUCUAUUAUGUUUGGAUAUGGAAUAGAACAUUUCGGCAUGUUAUAAUUUAAUAUAACAUAAUAUAAUUUAAUAUUACAUAUCAUUAUGUAUUUCUUAGAUUUUGAUAUAUGAGUUUAGGGUUUAUAUUUGGGUUAGGGUUUAGUGAUUAGAAUUUAGGGUUUAGGUUUUAGAUGAUAUGGAAUAGAACUUAGAUGAUAUGGAAUAUAAUUUUCAGUGCUUAUGUAUGUGAUCAAUAAAGUUAUACGUGGAUGGCUUUUUCUUCUUUCAAAAAACCACAACGUUACUUACGUUAUAAAUUGUAACUGGCAACCUAUUACAGGAAUGGACAGAACCGGAUAGAAUGUGUACAAAAAGUCUGACAUUAAAUUAUGUCAAAAUCAAUGAUAGUUACUUAAUUUCACAUUGAAAUAUGGCUAUCUCACCAAUAAGCCCUUAACAAAAUCGAUGUGGUCCUUAAAAAAAAAAAAAAAAUUGAUGUGGUCCUUAAAAAAAAAAACAAAAUUGAUGUCUAAGGCUUUUCUUCGUUUUUAAUAUAAUGGUCGUUAAAAAAAAUCGAUGUGGUUUCCUUAUUUAUAGGUCGUGGAGUUAUUUUAGGAAAUGUGGAAAAUACAAGCUAUUUUAAGGUGAAACUAAUUAAAUUCUCAGUGGUAUAUGACUGUAAAUAAAUUGAAAAACUAAAGGUUAUUUUAUAAGUGUACUUCUGUUUUAAUAAAGUAGAUGUACAUAUAAAAUCAUGUACACAUGUACAUAUAAAAUCAUGAUGUACCUUUUUGGCAAUUUUAUUUAAUGAGUGGCAUUUUAGUAAAUAUAUCUUCGUAUUCCCCAAAAUUUUUAGGUUUCCU
This 897-nucleotide long non-coding RNA is filed under the name Brassica rapa (field mustard). Its description in RNAcentral is "long non-coding RNA (BRAP_LNC000493)". Lineage: Eukaryota; Viridiplantae; Streptophyta; Magnoliopsida; Brassicales; Brassicaceae. The record is from RNAcentral.